GACGUAGGGCGCGAGCGUUGUCCGGAUUUAUUGGGCGUAAAGAGCUCGUAGGCGGUGUGUCGCGUCGGCCGUGAAAACCUGGGGCUUAACUCUGGGCGUGCGGUCGAUACGGGCAUCACUGGAGUUCGGCAGGGGAGACUGGAAUUCCUGGUGUAGCGGUGAAAUGCGCAGAUAUCAGGAGGAACACCGGUGGCGAAGGCGGGUCUCUGGGCCGAUACUGACGCUGAGGGGCGAAAGCAUGGGUAGCGAACCGG
RNAcentral lists this ribosomal RNA (254 nucleotides) under uncultured bacterium. Its description in RNAcentral is "partial 16S ribosomal RNA". It matches the Rfam family "Bacterial small subunit ribosomal RNA", at positions 524 to 776 of the family's 1533-position model. The record is from RNAcentral.